GACGAACGCUGGCGGCGUGCUUAACACAUGCAAGUCGAACGGUAAGGCCCUUCGGGGUACACGAGUGGCGAACGGGUGAGUAACACGUGGGUGAUCUGCCCUGCACUUCGGGAUAAGCCUGGGAAACUGGGUCUACUACCGGAUAGGACCACUGCCUGCAGGGGGGGUGGUGGAAAGCUUUUGCGGUGUGGGAUGGGCCCGCGGCCUAUCAGCUUGUUGGUGGGGUGAUGGCCUACCAAGGCGACGACGGGUAGCCGGCCUGAGAGGGUGAGCGGCCCCACUGGGACUGAGAUACGGCCCAGACUCCUACGGGAGGCAGCGGUGGGGAAUAUUGCACAAUGGGCGCAAGCCUGAUGCAGCGACGCCGCGUGAGGGAUGACGGCCUUCGGGUUAUAAACCUCUUUCAGCACCGACGAAGCGCAAGUGACGGUAGGUGCAGAAGAAGGACCGGCCAACUACGUGCCAGCAGCCGCCGUAA
This 478-nucleotide ribosomal RNA is filed under the name uncultured bacterium. RNAcentral describes it as "partial 16S ribosomal RNA". It matches the Rfam family "Bacterial small subunit ribosomal RNA", at positions 28 to 523 of the family's 1533-position model. The record is from RNAcentral.